GCCUCCGUAGCUCAGGGGAUAGAGCACCGCUCUCCUAAAGCGGGUGCCGCAGGUUCGAAUCCUGCCGGGGGCAC
This 74-nucleotide transfer RNA is filed under the name Thermobispora bispora. RNAcentral's name for it is "tRNA-Arg". It matches the Rfam family "tRNA". From Rfam's summary of the family: Transfer RNA (tRNA) molecules are approximately 80 nucleotides in length. Their secondary structure includes four short double-helical elements and three loops (D, anti-codon, and T loops). Lineage: Bacteria; Bacillati; Actinomycetota; Actinomycetes; Streptosporangiales; Streptosporangiaceae. The record is from RNAcentral. RNAcentral also lists the same sequence under 33 other names.